AGUGGCGCACGGGUGAGUAACACGUAGGUAAUCUACCUUUGGAUUGGGAAUAACCACGGGAAACUGUGGCUAAUACCGAAUAAUGCAGCGGCACCUAAUGGUGACAGUUGUUAAAGCGGGGGAUCGCAAGACCUCGCGUCUGAAGAGGAGCCUGCGGCAGAUUAGCUAGUUGGUAAGGUAACGGCUUACCAAGGCUAUGAUCUGUAGCCGGCCUGAGAGGGCGGUCGGCCACACUGACACUGACAUACGGGUCAGACUCCUACGGGAGGCAGCAGUCGGGAAUUUUGGGCAAUGGGCGAAAGCCUGACCCAGCAACGCCGCGUGAAGGAUGAAAUCCUUCGGGAUGUAAACUUCGCAAGAACGGGAAGAAUAAGUAAGAGUUAAUAUCUCUUAUGAUGACGGUACUGUUUGUAAGCUCCGGCUAACUCCGUGCCAGCAGCCGCGGUAAUACGGGGGGAGCAAGCGUUGUUCGGAUUUACUGGGCGUAAAGGGCGGGUAGGCGGCCACUGCAAGUCGGUUGUGAAAUCUCCGGGCUUAACCCGGAAAGGUCAAUCGAUACUGCAGGGCUAGAGUGCAGAAGGGGCAACUGGAAUUCUCGGUGUAGCGGUGAAAUGCGUAGAUAUCGAGAGGAACACCUGCGGCGAAGGCGGGUUGCUGGGCUGACACUGACGCUGAACUGCGAAAGCUAGGGGAGCGAACGGGAUUAGAUACCCCGGUAGUUCUAGCCUUAAACGAUGAAUGCUUGGUGUCUGGGGUUUUAUAGUCCCCGGGUGCCGUCGCUAACGCUUUAAGCAUUCCGCCUGGGGAGUACGGUCGCAAGACUGAAACUCAAAGGAAUUGACGGGGACCCGCACAAGCGGUGGAGCAUGUGGUUUAAUUCGACGCAACGCGAAGAACCUUACCUGGGCUAGAAUGCCUCUGACAACCCUAGAGAUAGGGCCUUCUGGGUAAGACCAGACAGAGUGCAAGGUGCUGCAUGGCUGUCGUCAGCUCGUGUCGUGAGAUGUUGGGUUAAGUCCCGCAACGAGCGCAACCCUUAUCAAUAGUUGCCAGCGGUUCGGCCGGGCACU
Molecule: ribosomal RNA, 1070 nt
Filed under: uncultured bacterium
Lineage: Bacteria
Description: bacterial SSU rRNA
Rfam family: Bacterial small subunit ribosomal RNA
Source: RNAcentral